Molecule: transfer RNA, 70 nt
Filed under: Dipodomys ordii (Ord's kangaroo rat)
Lineage: Eukaryota; Metazoa; Chordata; Mammalia; Rodentia; Heteromyidae
Rfam family: tRNA
About the family: Transfer RNA (tRNA) molecules are approximately 80 nucleotides in length. Their secondary structure includes four short double-helical elements and three loops (D, anti-codon, and T loops).
Source: Rfam by way of RNAcentral
GGUAUUGUGGCUUUGUGGUAGAGUGCUUGCCUCGUAUGCAUAAGGCCUUAGGUUCAAUUCCUCAGUACCA